CUUCUCCUACGGGACGCAGCAGUGAGGAAUAUUGGUCAAUGGGCGGGAGCCUGAACCAGCCAAGCCGCGUGAGGGAAGAAGGAACAGCGUAUCGUAAACCUCUUUUGUCAGGGAACAAAGGCGGGGACUAGUCCCCGGAUGAGGGUACCUGAAGAAAAAGCAUCGGCUAACUCCGUGCCAGCAGCCGCGGUAAUACGGAGGAUGCGAGCGCUAUCCGGAUUUAUUGGGUUUAAAGGGUGCGCAGGCGGCCUGUUAAGUCAGCGGUAGAAGCCCGGGGCUCAACC
RNAcentral lists this ribosomal RNA (284 nucleotides) under uncultured bacterium. Its description in RNAcentral is "partial 16S ribosomal RNA". It matches the Rfam family "Bacterial small subunit ribosomal RNA", at positions 333 to 614 of the family's 1533-position model. The record is from RNAcentral.